UGUACAAUACGCGCCAGGCACUGCCCUCGAAGAUCACGGAAGUGACAGUUGCAUAGAUGCAUAAUUGCAAUCACAUUGCAACAAAUACCAUGCUUAUAUGUUCCAAGUCACAGCAGCAGCCUAGAAGAAGCAGCUACUCUUUUCAGUUGGAUCCUAGAAAAGGUGACACUGGUGCUGAGUCUCGAAGGAGUGGUGAGGAUGUCUCUGUGCAUUAGUGCUGCCGUGAGUGGACCGGGCACUCCAGGAGGUAACAUGAAUUCAAGGAUACCUAUGAAUCACAUACAUAGUUGCCCAUGGAGCAAAGAAUGAGGAUUAGAAACGAGUAAACAGACAAACAAAAAGUUCUGGGACUGACCAAGAAUGAUAUGACAUAACUACUACCUCAACUUGAGGUCUUAUACAAGUAAUUCUCAUGUCCCUUUGUACAUGGAGACACCACCCAAGUUUGGGGAAUAAUGUCUGACUUCAGACACAGCAUUCACACCACAGAUAUGAGGCAAAAAACUGGGAGAUGGGCAAGCUCCUCCAGACUCCCCCAAGAGCCUCUCAGUGCUUCUCCCCAUCCUGUGGGUGGUGACUCCCACGUGUGGUGUGACUCUUGGCUGCUCAGAGCCUUCACGUUAUGUAGGGGAAGAAGAAGGAGAAAACGACUAUUUGGGGACAGCAAGCAGCUUCUGCCACAACAGAAGAGUAACAUCUUUAGGGAAGAUCUCCAGUAGCUGGAAGAGAGAAAGGCAAGAUAAGAAUCUCCAUGAGGAAACCAGCCCUCCCUCCCUGCAAGAAGCAACUGGAAAGCAGAGCACGACAGAGCAAAGCAGUGGGUCUUAACUUUGGACCAGCCGCAUGCUGCCAUCCAGGACUGGACACAUCACUGAUCUCACGCAUACACCCUGCGUGCUCACGAGGCGAAGGAAAGCCGUCUCGGACUUGGGUUCACAAUCACUUCUUUCCCUCGCGAUGAGAAAGCAGAGCCUGCUUUUCAGACGUGGCCGUGCUGGAGGAGGCAGCUCAGCCCAGAAAGGCUGCUGGCGCCAUCUAGUGCUCAGCUGGAGAACCGGCUCAGCGCGCACCCCUGAAUGGGGG
RNAcentral lists this long non-coding RNA (1083 nucleotides) under Equus caballus (horse). RNAcentral's name for it is "lncRNA (ENSECAG00000050688.1)". The record is from RNAcentral. Lineage: Eukaryota; Metazoa; Chordata; Mammalia; Perissodactyla; Equidae.